AAUCAACGCUGGCGGCGUGCCUCAGACAUGCAAGUCGAACGAUUAAACUUUCCUUCGGGAAAGAUAUAAAGUGGCGCACGGGUGAGUAACACGUAGGUAAUGUACCUUUGGGUGGGGAAUAACCAUCGGAAACGAUGGCUAAUACCGCAUAAUGCAGCGGCAUCGCAAGAUGACAGUUGUUAAAGAUUUAUCGCCUAAAGAGCAGCCUGCGGCAGAUUAGGUAGNGGUAAGGUAAUGGCUUACCAAGCCUGCGAUCUGUAACCGACCUGAGAGGGUGGUCGGUCACACUGACACUGAA
Molecule: ribosomal RNA, 298 nt
Filed under: uncultured bacterium
Lineage: Bacteria
Description: partial 16S ribosomal RNA
Rfam family: Bacterial small subunit ribosomal RNA
Source: RNAcentral